RNAcentral lists this ribosomal RNA (254 nucleotides) under uncultured Delftia sp. RNAcentral's name for it is "partial 16S ribosomal RNA". It matches the Rfam family "Bacterial small subunit ribosomal RNA", at positions 99 to 354 of the family's 1533-position model. The record is from RNAcentral. Lineage: Bacteria; Pseudomonadati; Pseudomonadota; Betaproteobacteria; Burkholderiales; Comamonadaceae.
CGAACGGGUGAGUAAUACAUCGGAACGUGCCCAGUCGUGGGGGAUAACUACUCGAAAGAGUAGCUAAUACCGCAUACGAUCUGAGGAUGAAAGCGGGGGACCUUCGGGCCUCGCGCGAUUGGAGCGGCCGAUGGCAGAUUAGGUAGUUGGUGGGAUAAAAGCUUACCAAGCCGACGAUCUGUAGCUGGUCUGAGAGGACGACCAGCCACACUGGGACUGAGACACGGCCCAGACUCCUACGGGAGGCAGCAGGU